Molecule: non-coding RNA, 112 nt
Organism: Jeotgalibacillus malaysiensis
Lineage: Bacteria; Bacillati; Bacillota; Bacilli; Caryophanales; Caryophanaceae
Source: Rfam
CAGUGAUGUCUCCUGACUGUUAUCAAUGGGGGCACUCGUUCAUGCUGUGGGUUUUAAAAGACCUUAGACGCCAGUCGUCGUUGGUAUGGAGUGAGGGCGGGUUAAAUGCCCA